Xanthomonas campestris pv. campestris is the source of this 75-nucleotide small RNA. It matches the Rfam family "Xanthomonas sRNA sX9". The record is from Rfam. NCBI's taxonomy places the organism in Bacteria, Pseudomonadati, Pseudomonadota, Gammaproteobacteria, Lysobacterales, Lysobacteraceae.
AUGUACCCGCAUACACUCCGGUUCCUCCGCGCCGUCCGCACCCACCUGACGGCUGCUCGAUACGUUUUGUUGGCC